This 253-nucleotide ribosomal RNA is filed under the name uncultured bacterium. Its description in RNAcentral is "partial 16S ribosomal RNA". It matches the Rfam family "Bacterial small subunit ribosomal RNA", at positions 524 to 776 of the family's 1533-position model. The record is from RNAcentral.
UACGAGUGCCUCAAGCGUUAUCCGGAAUCAUUGGGCGUAAAGGGUGCGUAGGCGGUUCUGUUAGUCUUUUGUUAAACCUUCCGGCUUAACCGGAAAUCUGCAAAAGAUACGGCAGGACUCGAGGAUGGAAGAGGUUUGCGGAACUCAUGGUGUAGGGGUGAAAUCCGUUGAUAUCAUGAGGAACACCGAAUGCGAAGGCAGCAAACUGGUCCACUCCUGACGCUGAAGCACGAAAGCGUGGGUCGCGAAUGGG